Molecule: ribosomal RNA, 467 nt
Filed under: uncultured bacterium
Lineage: Bacteria
Description: partial 16S ribosomal RNA
Rfam family: Bacterial small subunit ribosomal RNA
Source: RNAcentral
GAUGAACGCUGGCGGCGUGCUUAACACAUGCAAGUCGAACGGAAAGGCCCAAGCUUGCUUGGGUACUCGAGUGGCGAACGGGUGAGUAACACGUGGGUGAUCUGCCCUGCACUUCGGGAUAAGCCUGGGAAACUGGGUCUAAUACCGGAUAGGACCACUUCUUGGAUGUUGUGGUGGAAAGUUUUUUCGGUGUGGGAUGAGCUCGCGGCCUAUCAGCUUGUUGGUGGAGUAAUGGCCUACCAAGGCGUCGACGGGUAGCCGGCCUGAGAGGGUGUACGGCCGCAUUGGGACUUAGAUGCGGCCCAGGCUCCUACGGGAGGCCGAAGUGGGGAAUCUUGCACGAUGGGCGCCAGCCUGAUGCAGCGACGCCGCGUGGGGGAUGACGGCCUUCGGGUUGUAAACUCCUUUCGCUAGGGACGAUGCGUUUUGUGACGGUACCUGGAGAAGAAGCACCGGCUAACUACGUG